UCUCCGUAGGUGAACCUGCGGAGGGAUCAUUACCGAGUGAGGGCCCCCGGCCCGACCUCCAACCCUUUGUUAUCAAAACCACUGUUGCCUCGGGGGCGACCCGGCGCUUCGGCGCCAGGGGGUCCCCGCUGGUCCACACAACUCUGCAUCUUUGCGUCUGAGUAAACAUUAAAUGAAACAAAACUUUCAACAACGGAUCUCUUGGUUCUGGCAUCGAUGAAGAACGCAGC
This 230-nucleotide unclassified non-coding RNA is filed under the name uncultured fungus. Its description in RNAcentral is "sequence contains ITS1, 5.8S rRNA gene". The stretch from base 182 to 230 matches the Rfam family "5.8S ribosomal RNA", at positions 1 to 49 of the family's 154-position model. Lineage: Eukaryota; Fungi. The record is from RNAcentral.